RNAcentral lists this ribosomal RNA (421 nucleotides) under uncultured bacterium. RNAcentral's name for it is "bacterial SSU rRNA". It matches the Rfam family "Bacterial small subunit ribosomal RNA", at positions 357 to 775 of the family's 1533-position model. The record is from RNAcentral.
AGGAAUAUUGGUCAAUGGACGAGAGUCUGAACCAGCCAAGUAGCGUGAAGGAUGACUGCCCUAUGGGUUGUAAACUUCUUUUAUAUGGGAAUAAAACAGGGUAUGCAUACCCUCUUGUAUGUACCAUAUGAAUAAGGAUCGGCUAACUCCGUGCCAGCCGCCGCGGUAAUACGGAGGAUCCGAGCGUUAUCCGGAUUUAUUGGGUUUAAAGGGUGCGUAGGCGGCAGAUUAAGUUAGAGGUGAAAUUCCGAGGCUCAACCUUGGCACUGCCUCUGAUACUGGUUUGCUAGCGAGUAGAUGCUGUAGGCGGAAUGUGUGGUGUAGCGGUGAAAUGCAUAGAGAUCACACAGAACACCGAUUGCGAAGGCAUCUCACGAAUCCGCGAUUGACGCUGAUGCACGAAAGCGUGGGUAUCAAACAG